CUACGGGUCGCUCCAGCGAGGAAUUUUGCGCAAUGGGGGGAACCCUGACGCAGCAACGCCGUGUGAGUGAAGAAGGCCUUUGGGUCGUAAAGCUCUGUCAACUGGGAAGAAGUUACUAUGCUUAAAUAGAGUGUAGUAUUGACGGUACCAGUGGAGGAAGCGUCGGCUAACUCCGUGCCAGCAGCCGCGGUAACACGGGGGACGCAAGCGUUAUUCGGAAUUAUUGGGCGUAAAGGGCGCGUAGGCGGUCUUGUCGGUCAGGUGUGAAAGCCCGGGGCUCAACCCCGGACGUGCACUUGAAACAGCAAGACUUGAGUACGGGAGAGGAAAGCGGAAUUCCUGGUGUAGAGGUGAAAUUCGUAGAUAUCAGGAGGAACACCGAUGGCGAAGGCAGCUUUCUGGACCGAAACUGACGCUGAGGCGCGAAGGCGUGGGUAGCGAACGGGAUUAGAUACCCCUGUAGUC
This 465-nucleotide ribosomal RNA is filed under the name uncultured bacterium. Its description in RNAcentral is "partial 16S ribosomal RNA". It matches the Rfam family "Bacterial small subunit ribosomal RNA", at positions 339 to 795 of the family's 1533-position model. The record is from RNAcentral.